RNAcentral lists this ribosomal RNA (490 nucleotides) under uncultured bacterium. RNAcentral's name for it is "partial 16S ribosomal RNA". It matches the Rfam family "Bacterial small subunit ribosomal RNA", at positions 29 to 507 of the family's 1533-position model. The record is from RNAcentral.
AGUGAACGCUGGCGGUAGGCCUAACACAUGCAAGUCGAACGGCAGCACAGGAGAGCUUGCUCUCUAGGUGGCGAGUGGCGGACGGGUGAGGAAUACAUCGGAAUCUGCCCAGUCGUGGGGGAUAACGUAGGGAAACUUACGCUAAUACCGCAUACGACCUUCGGGUGAAAGAGGGGGAUCGCAAGACCUCUCGCGAUUGGAUGAGCCGAUGUCGGAUUAGCUAGUUAGCGGGGUAAUGGCCCACCAAGGCGACGAUCCGUAGCUGGUCUGAGAGGAUGAUCAGCCACACUGGAACUGAGACACGGUCCAGACUCCUACGGGAGGCAGCAGUGGGGAAUAUUGGACAAAGGGCGCAAGCCUGAUCCAGCCAUACCGCGUGGGUGAAGAAGGCCUUCGGGUUGUAAAGCCCUUUUGUUGGGAAAGAAAUCUUUCAGGCUAAUACCCUGGGAGGAUGACGGUACCCAAAGAAUAAGCACCGGCUAACUUCGUG